CGCAUUUUAGACUUAUCAGUAAAGUUCGAUACAAUUUAGACAAAGGAGAAAUGGACAUCAAAAUAGUUUUAUUGUGCACUUUAUUAGCCAUAACUGUUAAAAGUGAACAUUGUGGUACUGGGACAGAUUGUAAGACAACAAGGUGUGCUCAUACACAUAAUACUACAUGCUUGUUUGGAACAUGUGCCUGUGUGGAAUAUUUCGGCAAUUCAUGUAACGACUUUGAGGACUGUAAACAAGAUGAUUGCGUCAAUGGCGGCCACGGACAUUGUUUUGAAUACAAAUGUCUCUGUUUACAUCACCCUAUUGAA
Long non-coding RNA from Mytilus californianus (California mussel), 311 nucleotides. RefSeq lists it as uncharacterized. Lineage: Eukaryota; Metazoa; Mollusca; Bivalvia; Mytilida; Mytilidae. The transcript is spliced from 3 exons. The record is from RefSeq and is a predicted model, not a curated record.